UCCCCUGUAGCUCAGCGGUAGAGCGGGUGACUGUUAAUCACUAGGUCGUUGGUUCGAGCCCAACCGGGGAGCCA
Molecule: transfer RNA, 74 nt
Filed under: Akkermansia muciniphila
Lineage: Bacteria; Pseudomonadati; Verrucomicrobiota; Verrucomicrobiia; Verrucomicrobiales; Akkermansiaceae
Description: tRNA-Asn
Rfam family: tRNA
About the family: Transfer RNA (tRNA) molecules are approximately 80 nucleotides in length.
Source: RNAcentral